UACCCCGUGGUGUAAUUGGCAACACAGAAGUUUUUGGUACUUCUAUUCCAGGUUCGAGUCCUGGCGGGGUAA
RNAcentral lists this transfer RNA (72 nucleotides) under Phycisphaerae bacterium. RNAcentral's name for it is "tRNA-Gln". It matches the Rfam family "tRNA". From Rfam's summary of the family: Transfer RNA (tRNA) molecules are approximately 80 nucleotides in length. Lineage: Bacteria; Pseudomonadati; Planctomycetota; Phycisphaerae. The record is from RNAcentral.